GCUCUUAGCUCAGUCCGUAGAGCAUGAGACUCUUAAUCUCAAGGCUAUGGAUUUGAAGCUCACGUUGGGCA
Podarcis lilfordi (Lilford's wall lizard) is the source of this 71-nucleotide non-coding RNA. The record is from the annotation of a GenBank genome assembly. NCBI's taxonomy places the organism in Eukaryota, Metazoa, Chordata, Lepidosauria, Squamata, Lacertidae.